Molecule: ribosomal RNA, 450 nt
Filed under: uncultured bacterium
Lineage: Bacteria
Description: partial 16S ribosomal RNA
Rfam family: Bacterial small subunit ribosomal RNA
Source: RNAcentral
GUGGGGAAUUUUGGACAAUGGGCGCAAGCCUGAUCCAGCAAUGCCGCGUGCAGGAAGAAGGCCUUCGGGUUGUAAAAUGCUUUUGUACGGAACGAAACGGUCCGGGUUAAUACCCUGGGCUAAUGACGGUACCGUAAGAAUAAGCACCGGCUAACUACGUGCCAGCAGCCGCGGUAAUACGUAGGGUGCAAGCGUUAAUCGGAAUUACUGGGCGUAAAGCGUGCGCAGGCGGUUUUGUAAGACAGGCGUGAAAUCCCCGGGCUCAACCUGGGAAUUGCGCUUGUGACUGCAAGGCUGGAGUGCGGCAGAGGGGGAUGGAAUUCCGCGUGUAGCAGUGAAAUGCGUAGAUAUGCGGAGGAACACCGAUGGCGAAGGCAAUCCCCUGGGCCUGCACUGACGCUCAUGCACGAAAGCGUGGGGAGCAAACAGGAUUAGAAACCCCUGUAGUCC